Ailuropoda melanoleuca (giant panda) is the source of this 401-nucleotide long non-coding RNA. RefSeq lists it as uncharacterized. The record is from RefSeq and is a predicted model, not a curated record. The transcript is spliced from 3 exons. Lineage: Eukaryota; Metazoa; Chordata; Mammalia; Carnivora; Ursidae.
GGAUCGGGACCUUGUUCAUCACAGAUCCUGGACUCUAACCUGGACUGAGACACCAAGGUCGGUGGAUAACAUCAGCUCUGUGGCUGUCCUGAAGCAUGCAGGUGGCAAGGUGCUGGAGAGCUGUGUGGAGGUGCCAUUGUUGGCCAAGCCAUUCUGCGUCCCGGAAGCACGUUACUAAGCAACUCGUGGAGACCAUUAGCCUGACGUGGCACUUCUUUCUGGUUGAAAAGCAGUCUUACGGAGGCUGAAACCUGGCAGAGGCCAUCACUCCGUGCAGAUCCAGGACCGCAGUAUGCAGAGGGCUGGGGGAUGGGAACAUCUGAAUGGGCUGAAGUUAAAGCAAAAAGAGACUGUGGCAGAGCUGAGUUCUGGACGGAGCUCUGGAAGAAACCAAAAAGAAG